This 406-nucleotide ribosomal RNA is filed under the name uncultured bacterium. Its description in RNAcentral is "partial 16S ribosomal RNA". It matches the Rfam family "Bacterial small subunit ribosomal RNA", at positions 30 to 526 of the family's 1533-position model. The record is from RNAcentral.
AUUGAACGCUGGCGGCAGGCCUAACACAUGCAAGUCGAACGAGUGGCGGACGGGUGAGUAAUGUCUGGGAAACUGCCUGAUGGAGGGGGAUAACUACUGGAAACGGUUGCUAAUAACGCAUACCAUCAGAUGUGCCGAGAUGGGAUGAGCGAGUUGGAGGGGUAAAGGCUCACCAAGGCGACGAUCCCUAGCUGGUCUGAGAGGAGGACCAGCAACACUGGAACUGAGACACGGUCCAGACUCCUACGGGAGGCAGCAGUGGGGAAUAUUGGACAAUGGGCGAAAGCCUGAUUCAGCCAUGCCGCGUGUAUGAAGAAGGCCUUCGGGUUGUAAAGUACUUUCAGCGGGGAGGCGUUACCCGCAGAAUAAGCACCGGCUAACUCCGUGCCAGCAGCCGCGGUAAUUC